This 460-nucleotide ribosomal RNA is filed under the name uncultured bacterium. RNAcentral describes it as "partial 16S ribosomal RNA". It matches the Rfam family "Bacterial small subunit ribosomal RNA", at positions 338 to 795 of the family's 1533-position model. The record is from RNAcentral.
CCUACGGGAGGCAGCAGUGAGGAAUAUUGGUCAAUGGGCGGAAGCCUGAACCAGCCAAGUAGCGUGAGGGAUGAAGGCCCUACGGGUCGUAAACUUCUUUUGCACGGGAAUAACAUCCUCCACUUCUAGAGCUCUGCAUGUACCCUACGAAUAAGGACCGGCUAACUCCGUGCCAGCAGCCGCGGUAAUACGGAGGAUCCGAGCGUUAUCCGGAUUUAUUGGGCGUAAAGGGAGCGUAGGCGGGUAGUUAAGGCCGCAGGGAAAAGCGGGGGGUCAACCCCUGGACUGCAGUGGAGACUGGAAGCCUUGAGUGCAGGAGAGGUAGGCGGAAUUCGUGGUGUAGCGGUGAAAUGCAUAGAUAUCACGAGGAACACCGAUGGCGAAGGCAGCCUGCUGGACUGUAACUGACGCUGAGGCUCGAAAGUGUGGGUAUCAAACAGGAUUAGAUACCCUUGUAGUC